GUGUCUAUGGGCCUCUCAUAGUGGACCCAUGCCAGAGGAAGUUGCAGCCUCAAACCAUUGCCCAGCCUCCUUACCCUUGGGCUGUGAGCACUGAAGGGGGCUGUACAGUA
This 110-nucleotide small nucleolar RNA is filed under the name Myotis lucifugus (little brown bat). RNAcentral's name for it is "Small nucleolar RNA SNORA42/SNORA80 family (ENSMLUG00000018288.1)". It matches the Rfam family "Small nucleolar RNA SNORA42/SNORA80 family", at positions 28 to 136 of the family's 136-position model. From Rfam's summary of the family: The members of this family belong to the H/ACA class of snoRNAs that guide the sites of modification of uridines to pseudouridines. Human ACA42 (SNORA42) was cloned from HeLa cells by immunoprecipitation with anti-GAR1 antibody. Lineage: Eukaryota; Metazoa; Chordata; Mammalia; Chiroptera; Vespertilionidae. The record is from RNAcentral.